GCUGAGGUGGCGGAGUAGUCAAUCGCACCUGGCUGUAGACCAGGCGCCCGCAAGGGCUACGGGAGUGCAAAUCUCUCCCUCAGCACCA
RNAcentral lists this transfer RNA (88 nucleotides) under Candidatus Levybacteria bacterium RIFCSPHIGHO2_01_FULL_37_17. Its description in RNAcentral is "tRNA-Tyr". It matches the Rfam family "tRNA". Rfam says of the family: Transfer RNA (tRNA) molecules are approximately 80 nucleotides in length. Lineage: Bacteria; Candidatus Levyibacteriota. The record is from RNAcentral. RNAcentral also lists the same sequence under 1 other name.